GGGGGGGGGGGGGGGGGGGGGGGGGGGGUGGGGGGGGGGCGGGGGGGGGGGGGGGGGGGGGGGUGCUCGAGUGGGGGGCGGAUGGGGAGGGGGGGGGUGGCCGGGCCUGGGCUGUGGGCUAACUUCGGGGAGCUGGGGCUGAUACGGGAUAGGGGCUCCUGCUGCAUGGUGGGGGUUGGAAAGGUUCGGCGGUUGGGGAUGGACUCGCGGCGUAUCAGCUGGUGGGUGGGGUAGUGGCUUACCAAGGCUUUGGCGGGUGGCCGGCCUGAGAGGGGGACCGGCCCCAUUGGGACUGAGAUACGGCCCAGACUCCUACGGGAGGCAGUAGUGGGGAAUAUUGCACAAUGGGCGGAAGCCUGAUGCAGCAACGCCGCGUGCGGGAUGACGGCCUGCGGGUUGUAAACCGCUUUCGCCUGUGACGAAGCGUGAGGGACGGUAAUGGGUAAAGAAGCACCGGCUAACUACGUG
RNAcentral lists this ribosomal RNA (468 nucleotides) under uncultured bacterium. Its description in RNAcentral is "partial 16S ribosomal RNA". The stretch from base 58 to 468 matches the Rfam family "Bacterial small subunit ribosomal RNA", at positions 39 to 507 of the family's 1533-position model. The record is from RNAcentral.